UAAAAUGAUUAUAGGUUAAU
Molecule: microRNA, 20 nt
Filed under: Schistosoma mansoni
Lineage: Eukaryota; Metazoa; Platyhelminthes; Trematoda; Strigeidida; Schistosomatidae
Description: sma-miR-8435-5p
Source: miRBase by way of RNAcentral